Molecule: ribosomal RNA, 157 nt
Filed under: uncultured bacterium
Lineage: Bacteria
Description: partial 16S ribosomal RNA
Rfam family: Bacterial small subunit ribosomal RNA
Source: RNAcentral
UGAGGAAUAUUGGUCAAUGGGAGAGAUCCUGAACCAGCCAAGCCGCGUGAGGGAAGACGGCCCUAUGGGUUGUAAACCUCUUUUGUCGGAGAACAAAACCCGGGACGUGUCCCGGACUGCGUGUAUCCGAAGAAAAAGCAUCGGCUAACUACGUGCC